AGAGUUUGAUCCUGGCUCAGAUUGAACGCUGAUGCUUUACACUGCAAGUCGAACGGUAACAGGCCUUCGGGCGCUGACGAGUGGCGAACGGGUGAGUAAUGUAUCGGAACGUACCUUUCAGUGGGGGAUAACGUAGCGAAAGUUACGCUAAUACCGCAUAUUCUGUGAGCAGGAAAGCAGGGGAUCGCAAGACCUUGCGCUGAUUGAGCGGCCGAUAUCAGAUUAGCUAGUUGGUGAGGUAAAGGCUCACCAAGGCGACGAUCUGUAGCGGGUCUGAGAGGAUGAUCCGCCACACUGGAACUGACACGGUCCAGACUCCUACGGGAGGCAGCAGUGGGGAAUUUUGGACAAUGGGGGCAACCCUGAUCCAGCCAUGCCGCGUGAGUGAAGAAGGCCUUCGGGUUGUAAAGCUCUUUCGGCCGGGAAGAAAUCGUACGGGCUAAUACCCUGUGCGGAUGACGGUACCGGCAUAAGAAGCACCGGCUAACUACGUGCCAGCAGCCGCGGUAAUACGUAGGGUGCGAGCGUUAAUCGGAAUUACUGGGCGUAAAGCGUGCGCAGGCGGUUUUGUAAGACAGGCGUGAAAUCCCCGGGCUCAACCUGGGAACUGCGCUUGUGACUGCAAGGCUAGAGUAUGGCAGAGGGGGGUGGAAUUCCACGUGUAGCAGUGAAAUGCGUAGAGAUGUGGAGGAACACCAAUGGCGAAGGCAGCCCCCUGGGCCAAUACUGACGCUCAUGCACGAAAGCGUGGGUAGCAAACAGGAUUAGAUACCCUGGUAGUCCACGCCCUAAACGAUGUCAACUAGGUGUUGGGUGGGUAAAACCAUUUAGUACCGUAGCUAACGCGUGAAGUUGACCGCCUGGGGAGUACGGCCGCAAGGUUAAAACUCAAAGGAAUUGACGGGGACCCGCACAAGCGGUGGAUGAUGUGGAUUAAUUCGAUGCACGCGAAAA
RNAcentral lists this ribosomal RNA (954 nucleotides) under uncultured beta proteobacterium. Its description in RNAcentral is "bacterial SSU rRNA". It matches the Rfam family "Bacterial small subunit ribosomal RNA", at positions 8 to 967 of the family's 1533-position model. Lineage: Bacteria; Pseudomonadati; Pseudomonadota; Betaproteobacteria. The record is from RNAcentral.